RNAcentral lists this ribosomal RNA (1284 nucleotides) under Microconidiobolus nodosus. RNAcentral describes it as "Conidiobolus nodosus small subunit ribosomal RNA". It matches the Rfam family "Bacterial small subunit ribosomal RNA". Lineage: Eukaryota; Fungi; Entomophthoromycota; Entomophthoromycetes; Entomophthorales; Conidiobolaceae. The record is from RNAcentral.
AUCAUAAAUAGUUUGAUCUUGGCUACGAAUAUACGCUAACUAUAGGCUUUACACAUGCAAGUCGAAUGAGGAGAACGAAGUAAAAGACUAAGUUAAAUCAUGGCAUCCGGGUGAGUAGUAAAUAGGAAAGUUUACAUUUGGAAGAAAUAAAUAAGGAUAAAGUCCACCAAAAGUAAGUGCCUAUUCCAAGCCAAAGAUCUAAAAUCUAUAACUAGAAGAGAGAUAGAUCACAGUGACAAUGAAAAAGAGUCACGUGGGCCAAAGGUCUACCAGCAGUGGGGAAUAUUGGACAAUGGGUGAAAGCCUGAUCCAGCAAUAUAGUUAGAGUGAAAAGCAAAAACAUAAAACUCUAAAGAAAAGUAAAAUAAUGAUAUGACUUUUCUAAUAAUCCUGACUAAUUUCGUGCCAGCAGUCGCGGUAAUACGAAAAGGAUAAGCGUAAUUCAUAUUAUCUAGGUGUAAAGGGUCAGUAGGCGGCAAAUAAAGCUAGAGUGUAAAAGAAGAAAGAGGAAUUAAAGAUGGAGGGAUGAAAUCCUUAGAUAUAUUUAGGAACAACAAUGGCGAAGGCAUCUUUCUAAUAAACACUGACGCUAAUAGACUAAAGUGUGGGUAGCGAAAAGGAUUAGAGACCCUAUUAGUCCACACCCUAAACCAUGAGUGUAAAUCUUAACAGCAAAACACUCCACCUGGGGAGUACAAUCGCAAGAUAGAAACCCAAAAGAAUAGACGGUCUUUAAAAUCAGCAGUGAAGCAUGUUGUUUAAUUUGACAGCACCCAAACAAUCUUACCAGUCCUUGAAUACUAUACCGGUGUUGCAUGGCUGUCUUUAGUUCGUGUUGUGAAAUGUAAGGUUAAGUCCGAUAACGAACGAAACCCCCUUUACUAAUUAAAUCUUAGUAAGCAAAAUGAAAGAAUGGGACUAAGACAAGUCAUUAUGGCCCUUAAGGAUUGGGCUACAGACGUGCCACACAAGUAGUAACAAUAGGUGAAACCAUAAAUACUACUAUGUACAGAUGGUAGCCUGAAACUCGGCUACUUGAAGUAGGAAUUGCUAGUAAUCGUGGAUCAGUAUGCCACGGUGAAUAAUCAUCUUAGAGAUGUACUAAUCGCCCGUCAAGGGCAGGAAGAAAUAGAAUAAUAAAGCUAGUAGUGAAACUAAAAUUAAAAAUAUCAUUCUGGAUGAUAAAAAGGAUAUAGUGUAAUUAAUAGUGAAUAUUCUAUAACGACCUGUCUUAAGUCGUAACAAAGUGGCGGUAGGGGAACCUGUCGCUGAAUGGUAAACACC